CCUACGGGAGGCUGCAGUGGGGAAUAUUGGACAAUGGGGGCAACCCUGAUCCAGCCAUGCCGCGUGUGUGAAGAAGGCCCUCGGGUUGUAAAGCACUUUCAGUGAGGAAGAACGCCUGGUGGUUAAUACCCAUCAGGAAAGACAUCACUCACAGAAGAAGCACCGGCUAACUCCGUGCCAGCAGCCGCGGUAAUACGGAGGGUGCGAGCGUUAAUCGGAAUUACUGGGCGUAAAGCGCGCGUAGGUGGCUUGAUAAGCCGGUUGUGAAAGCCCCGGGCUCAACCUGGGAACGGCAUCCGGAACUGUCAAGCUAGAGUGCAGGAGAGGAAGGUAGAAUUCCCGGUGUAGCGGUGAAAUGCGUAGAGAUCGGGAGGAAUACCAGUGGCGAAGGCGGCCUUCUGGACUGACACUGACACUGAGGUGCGAAAGCGUGGGUAGCAAACAGGAUUAGAUACCCCUGUGGUC
Molecule: ribosomal RNA, 465 nt
Filed under: Vreelandella stevensii
Lineage: Bacteria; Pseudomonadati; Pseudomonadota; Gammaproteobacteria; Oceanospirillales; Halomonadaceae
Description: partial 16S ribosomal RNA
Rfam family: Bacterial small subunit ribosomal RNA
Source: RNAcentral